RNAcentral lists this transfer RNA (75 nucleotides) under Candidatus Altimarinota bacterium. Its description in RNAcentral is "tRNA-Arg". It matches the Rfam family "tRNA". Rfam says of the family: Transfer RNA (tRNA) molecules are approximately 80 nucleotides in length. Their secondary structure includes four short double-helical elements and three loops (D, anti-codon, and T loops). Further hydrogen bonds mediate the characteristic L-shaped molecular structure. tRNAs have two regions of fundamental functional importance: the anti-codon, which is responsible for specific mRNA codon recognition, and the 3' end, to which the tRNAs corresponding amino acid is attached (by aminoacyl-tRNA synthetases). tRNAs cope with the degeneracy of the genetic code in two manners: having more than one tRNA (with a specific anti-codon) for a particular amino acid; and 'wobble' base-pairing, i.e. permitting non-standard base-pairing at the 3rd anti-codon position. The record is from RNAcentral. Lineage: Bacteria; Candidatus Altimarinota.
GCCCCCGUAGCUCAGUGGAUAGAGCGACGGUUUCCUAAACCGCAGGUCAGCCGUUCGAGUCGGCUCGGGGCGCCA